Silurus meridionalis is the source of this 1693-nucleotide RNA transcript. RefSeq lists it as uncharacterized. Lineage: Eukaryota; Metazoa; Chordata; Actinopteri; Siluriformes; Siluridae. The record is from RefSeq and is a predicted model, not a curated record. The transcript is spliced from 5 exons.
UAUGACAGUGCAGCACACAGCAGAACAAAGUGCUUUGGUAGUAGUUCAGUGGCAGCUUCAGUAGUAGCAACAUCACGAGUUAUGGAUCUUCCACCUUUCUGAUGAUUUUUUAUUUUAUUUCUUUUUACAUUUUUUAUAGAUCUGUUUUUUACUUUAAGGAUUGAUUUCGUGGUUCACUUCAAGAGGAUUGUGUUUGCAGUUCCUGUGGAAGUUGAGGGGAAAUAACCAGGAAUAAUGGCAAACAGUAAUUCAAUCUGGUACCACGGUCCUAUCACCAGAGAUCGAUGCGAGGAGAUCCUGGGUGCGAAGAAAAAAGAUGGAUCGUAUCUCAUCCGGGAAAGCGAGACCAUCAGUGGAGCUCUGUGCCUCUGCGUCUACAAAAAGAAAGUGGUUUACACCUACAGGAUCCUACAAUCCCAUACAGGAUAUUACACUUUACAGGCGAGUGCAGGCGUGAAGGAAAGGUUUUUUAAGUCUCUGGAGGAUCUCAUUCAGCACUACAAAAAGAGAAAUCAGGGUUUAGCGUGUCGACUACGUCACGCCGUGAAGAGGAAACAGGUAGACGAGGAAUCAGUGGUGGGAGACGACGAGCCGGAUUACGAAAACGUGGACCCGACGUCCGAGUACGUCGAAGUGCUGCCAGAGUGAUUCUGUUGAAGUGACGUGCCGGAUGUAAAUAAGUAAAUAAAUAAAGAAGAAGUGUAAAUACUGUAAACCUGAACCAUGUUUUAUAUUACGGCCACGGUCUGUGGACACCUGAGCAUAAGAUUUCUGUGUUUUAUGAACGUUCUUGAACAUCUGAACAUUCAGUCUUCAUUCACUGCUAUAAUGAGCUCCACUCUUCUCUGAAGAUGUUCCACUAGAUUUUGUGAAGAUUUUGUGGAGAUUUAUUGAACCACAAUAAAUUCAGGUACUGAUGGAGGUGAGAAGGUGAGGAGGACUGGGACUGUUUACAUUCUUGCCAAAAGCAAUUAAUAGGUUUGGAGCUCUAUAGCAGGAGAUCUUUCACUCCAAUUCAUGUAAAGGCAGAUCUUUAUGAAGCUGGUUUUGUGCACUAAGGUCCUGCUGGAACAGGUUUGGGUCUCCUAGUUCAAGUGAAGGCAAAUUUGAAUGCUACUGAAUCUAAAGACGUCCGACACAGUUGUGUAUGUUAUGUUGUGUAUGUUCAAUAUUGUGCCUACUUAUGUAUAAGUGUGUAAACUGCCAUUGCUCAGGGUUGGUUUUGGUUAACCACACACAUUUUUCCGUCCCAGUGUAAAGGCUCUGGUGUGGAAAGAGAGAAUCUGAGAUAUUAUUAGUGAGUUGGGGAAAGUUUGUAGGCGUCUCAGUCUCCGUUUGUCAUCAUGGAUUUUCUUUGUAUGGCUAAAGUUCAAUAUAUAAAUAAUUAUUUAUUUUUGGGUUAUGUUUAUCAGUUGCUCAGUAGCUCCUGAGCUCCACAUUAGUGGUUCAUCAAAGCUUCAUCAUCAGAGCUUCAGCAUCAGAGCUUCAUCAUCAGAUCCUCAACAUUACUUAUUAGUUUCUUUACUGAUUGGAUCUGCUUCUUUAAUGCUGUAUCUGAUCUUCUUUUAUCUACUGUGAAAAAUGUAUUUUUCAGGACAUGAUGUGAUUAGGUUUAGAUAUUAUUAUAAUUAACUGUAACGACCUGAGCCACAAAUACAAUAUGAAAAUAUGAUUAACUGUUGUUUGAGAUGAU